RNAcentral lists this ribosomal RNA (303 nucleotides) under uncultured bacterium. RNAcentral describes it as "partial 16S ribosomal RNA". It matches the Rfam family "Bacterial small subunit ribosomal RNA", at positions 507 to 807 of the family's 1533-position model. The record is from RNAcentral.
AGCAGUAGCCGCGGUAAUACGGAGGGGGCUAGCGUUGUUCGGAAUUACUGGGCGUAAAGCGCACGUAGGCGGCUUUGUAAGUCAGAGGUGAAAGCCCGGGGCUCAACCCCGGAAUUGCCUUUGAGACUGCAUCGCUUGAAUCCAGGAGAGGUGAGUGGAAUUCCGAGUGUAGAGGUGAAAUUCGUAGAUAUUCGGAAGAACACCAGUGGCGAAGGCGGCUCACUGGACUGGUAUUGACGCUGAGGUGCGAAAGCGUGGGGAGCAAACAGGAUUAGAUACCCCUGUAGUCCCUGUCUCUUAUAC